RNAcentral lists this ribosomal RNA (471 nucleotides) under uncultured bacterium. Its description in RNAcentral is "bacterial SSU rRNA". It matches the Rfam family "Bacterial small subunit ribosomal RNA", at positions 26 to 518 of the family's 1533-position model. The record is from RNAcentral.
AGGACGAACGCUGGCGGCAUGCUUCAUACAUGCAAGUCGAACGAUAAGGUCUCUUCGGAGAUACAUAAGUGGCGGACGGGUGAGUAAUAUGUAGGAAAUCUGCCCUAGAGAGGGGGACAACAGAGGGAAACUUCUGCUAAUACCCCAUAUGAGCAUACCUGAAAUGGUAUUCUUGAAAACUCCGGUGCUCUAGGAUGAGCCUGCAUCUGAUUAGCUAGUUGGCGGUGUAAUGGACCACCAAGGCGACGAUCAGUAGCUGGUUUGAGAGGAUGAUCAGCCACAAUGGGACUGAGACACGGCCCAUACUCCUACGGGAGGCAGCAGUAGGGAAUUUUGCGCAAUGGGCGAAAGCCUGACGCAGCAAUGCCGCGUGAACGUAGAAGCCCUUCGGGGUGUAAAGUUCUGUCAGUGGGGACGAAUUUUGACGGUACCCACAGAGGAAGCACCGGCUAACUCCGUGCCAGCCGCCGC